RNAcentral lists this ribosomal RNA (468 nucleotides) under uncultured bacterium. Its description in RNAcentral is "partial 16S ribosomal RNA". It matches the Rfam family "Bacterial small subunit ribosomal RNA", at positions 28 to 507 of the family's 1533-position model. The record is from RNAcentral.
GACGAACGCUGGCGGCGUGCUUAACACAUGCAAGUCGAACGGAAAGGCCCUGCUUUUGUGGGGUGCUCGAGUGGCGAACGGGUGAGUAACACGUGAGUAACCUGCCCUUGACUUUGGGAUAACUUCAGGAAACUGGGGCUAAUACCGGAUAGGAGCUCCUGCUGCAUGGUGGGGGUUGGAAAGUUUCGGCGGUUGGGGAUGGACUCGCGGCUUAUCAGCUUGUUGGUGGGGUAGUGGCUUACCAAGGCUUUGACGGGUAGCCGGCCUGAGAGGGUGACCGGCCACAUUGGGACUGAGAUACGGCCCAGACUCCUACGGGAGGCAGCAGGGGGGAAUAUUGCACAAGGGGCGGAAGCCUGAUGCAGCAACGCCGGGUGCGGGAUGACGGCCUUCGGGUUGUAAACCGCUUUCGCCUGUGACGAGGCGUGAGUGACGGUAAUGGGUAAAGAAGCACCGGCUAACUACGUG